Molecule: non-coding RNA, 112 nt
Organism: Acanthosepion pharaonis
Lineage: Eukaryota; Metazoa; Mollusca; Cephalopoda; Sepiida; Sepiidae
Source: the annotation of a GenBank genome assembly
ACGGCCACGUAACGUUGAAACACCAGUUCCCGUAUGAUCACCGAAGUUAAGACACGUCAAACCUUGUUAGAACCUAAAUGGGUGACAGCUUAGGAAUACCAGGUGCUGUAAG